RNAcentral lists this unclassified non-coding RNA (1188 nucleotides) under Hevea brasiliensis (rubber tree). Lineage: Eukaryota; Viridiplantae; Streptophyta; Magnoliopsida; Malpighiales; Euphorbiaceae. The record is from RNAcentral.
AGGUAUGUAAUAUGGUAGCAUGCUUUGUCAUUUUUCAUCUUUCCUAUUCUAUAUUUUUAACAAGGUAGCUUAUCUAGAUUGCUAGUUUACAUCUAAACAGUAUUGAUCCAAUGAUUCAAAGACAUACAAUUGUAGUGAAUUAGGUAAUUUGAAUUUCUGGUCUAAAGGAUCAAUGGAUUAUUUGCUGUUUGGUAGUGGUAUACCCUACUGAAAACUCUUCUUUACUCUCUAUUCCAUUUUUGUAUUUUGGGGAAGAUUUUGUCAUGGGAGGUUUUUUGGCUGAGGAAGUGAGAAAAAAAUUUGAGAAUCUCAUUGAUGUUUGUGGGAGGCUAAAAUUCUUGAAAACAUUAUCUUUUUUAUUAUAUGUAAUGUAUUUAUAUUGCCAAAAUCAAUUUUUGUAACCACAGAUAGAUGGACGCUUAAGUUGAAUUGAUGUUGUAAAAGGGACGUAUUGCUUUGGCUUUGACACACAUUCACCUAAUCACCCUGCAUUAUUUCAAUUAUUUCUAGGUCUUCUUUUUGGUUGAUAUGUUGGGUGGUUCACUCAUUUAAUGCCAUUUGAAGCUUAUCCCUUUGGCACUAUAACAGUGAAUUUAUUGAUAUAUGUUGAAUUUUGGGAUCAAUUCUGUAAAUUAAUUAAAAUAAAGGUUCAAUCAUUUUUUGGGACAACACGUCUUUGUUUUGGCUUUGGGCGUUUUCUGGUAAUGACAUUGAUAAAAUAAUGUAGGUGUAUUCUCUCUUCAAUGGUUGGAGUUUUUUGGGUUGCUGUAAUUCCUUUCCAGAUUUUUUCAUCACAAAAGUGUAUGUUGUUGAGUGUGGAGAGAUUUGUAACAUGGUUUCAUGUAUUUUGGCAAGAGUACUGCUGGAAACUAUAGUUUGAAUGAUGUCAUACUGAUCCAUAAGUUACUGGCUUAUUUUUUUUAGCAUAUUUUAAUGAAAACACUGGAAAGGUCAAGAAUUUCAAGAAUUUACGAGUGUGACAACAGGAUUAGAACCUCUGUAUGUCUGAUAUGUGUACCUGAAGCACUACCCCAUGUCACGCAGUAACCCAUGUGUUCAUCAAUUAGGGCUGUAACUUUUUGUAAUUCUUUAUCUUGCCUUAUUUUGGAAAACCUAGCUCUCUUGUUGUCUAAGAGGAGUUAGUAUAAUCUUCUGGUUUUGCUCAGGAUGAUGAGACAACCUUGUCAG